UUUUUUUUUUUUGUUAAAAUUGAAUGCAUAAUAUUAAUUUGUACAAUAACUUUUAUUUAUCCCGAAUUAUAUAUAGGUAAUGCUAGUUGACGAUUUAUUGUUAAUCACGUAUCAUACACAUUGUCUGUGAUUUAAUUGCCGAACGAGUGUCGUAGUCGAUGUAAUGUACGAGAUACUCUGAGCCACGUAACACGACGACCGAUAAAAUGAAUGUAGAGAGAAAAAGAGGGGGGGAGAGUGAGAAUAAGAGAGAAUGAGGAUGAGAAUAAGAGAGAACUUGUAAUUGUGCCUGUCCGUAACUAACGUGCAAACAUACGUGUGCACCACGUAUGUAUAUAAACACAAUAAAUUUCAAAUAGCCAUUAAAUUCACUGAAGUAUUUAUCGAUAGUUUAUUAAUAUUAUCUUUUUUCCAUUCGUCAUUCUCACGUAUUAUCUUAAAGAUCGUAUAUAAUAGGUUUUUAUCUAUCAAAUCAUAUAUUCUCU
Molecule: long non-coding RNA, 485 nt
Organism: Frieseomelitta varia
Lineage: Eukaryota; Metazoa; Arthropoda; Insecta; Hymenoptera; Apidae
Exons: 3
Source: RefSeq, a predicted model, not a curated record